RNAcentral lists this ribosomal RNA (460 nucleotides) under uncultured bacterium. RNAcentral's name for it is "partial 16S ribosomal RNA". It matches the Rfam family "Bacterial small subunit ribosomal RNA", at positions 338 to 795 of the family's 1533-position model. The record is from RNAcentral.
CCUACGGGAGGCAGCAGUGAGGAAUAUUGGUCAAUGGGCGCGAGCCUGAACCAGCCAAGUCGCGUGAAGGAUGACUGCCCUACGGGUUGUAAACUUCUUUUAUAAAGGAAUAAAGUGAGGCACGUGUGCCUUUUUGUAUGUACUUUAUGAAUAAGGAUCGGCUAACUCCGUGCCAGCAGCCGCGGUAAUACGGAGGAUCCGAGCGUUAUCCGGAUUUAUUGGGUUUAAAGGGAGCGUAGAUGGGUUGUUAAGUCAGUUGUGAAAGUUUGCGGCUCAACCGUGAAAUUGCAAUUGAUACUGGCAGUCUAGAGUACAGUUGAGGGAGGUGGAAUUCGUGGUGUAGCGGUGAAAUGCUUAGAGAUCACGAAGAACUCCGAUGGCGAAGGCAGCUUACUAGACUGAGACUGACAUUGAUGCGCGAAAGUGUGGGUAGCAAACAGGAUUAGAUACCCUUGUAGUC